Cynara cardunculus var. scolymus (artichoke) is the source of this 483-nucleotide long non-coding RNA. RefSeq lists it as uncharacterized. The transcript is spliced from 3 exons. Lineage: Eukaryota; Viridiplantae; Streptophyta; Magnoliopsida; Asterales; Asteraceae. The record is from RefSeq and is a predicted model, not a curated record.
GGGUUUUGUUGGGAUAAGAAGAGGCAAAAGCUGAUUAUACCAUUUUUGGUCUCUGGUUCGAAGAAAUAGAAGCAGAAAAGAAUAAGUUGGUACGUGAUUAUUAUCUGAUAAUUGUUGUUGUUAAAAGUCUUCAUCUCCUUGUGAUUUCAAGGGGGUUAUCACACCAGUAUGGUGCGAGGAGCAGUGAGGAAGAUUUUCAUCGCAUCCUAGUGAUGCGAGGAACAUUUUAUCGCAUGUAAUAGGAUGCGACAAGAUCGGGCACUAGAAGAAGGUAAAGGAAAAGGAAAGAUGUGAAAUGAUUUGUUAUAACUUUACCUCUGUGGAUUUUUGGGAAAGUUGAAUAUGUGCAUAUACUUGAGAAUGUGUUAUGUACAAGUCAUGUACUAUAUGUGAACAUGUAGCUACUUUUAUAUGUAGCAAUUUGUACAUAUUGGAAUUGGUGUGUAAUAUUUGUAUUUCAUGUUAUAUAAAAUAUGCGUUUUA